RNAcentral lists this ribosomal RNA (399 nucleotides) under uncultured bacterium. Its description in RNAcentral is "bacterial SSU rRNA". It matches the Rfam family "Bacterial small subunit ribosomal RNA", at positions 361 to 777 of the family's 1533-position model. The record is from RNAcentral.
AUAUUGGACAAUGGGCGCAAGCCUGAUCCAGCCAUGCCGCGUGGAUGAUGAAGGCCCUAGGGUUGUAAAGUCCCUUUAACGGGGAAGAUAAUGACGGUACCCGUAGAAUAAGCCCCGGCUAACUUCGUGCCAGCAGCCGCGGUAAUACGAAGGGGGCUAGCGUUGCUCGGAAUUACUGGGCGUAAAGCGCACGUAGGCGGACCGAUAAGUCGGGGGUGAAAUCCUGGAGCUCAACUCCAGAACUGCCUUCGAAACUGCCGGUCUUGAGUUCGGGAGAGGUGAGUGGAACUGCGAGUGUAGAGGUGAAAUUCGUAGAUAUUCGCAAGAACACCAGUGGCGAAGGCGGCUCACUGGCCCGAUACUGACGCUGAGGUGCGAAAGCGUGGGGAGCAAACAGGA